UUUUUUUGAAUAUUUUUAUUGGAAUAUUUUUAAGUUUUAUAUUUAAUAAAUAUUUCACAUUUUAUUUGUUAGAAGAAUAAUAUUUUGGAAUCAUUUCUUAUUAGAAAGCCUCUAGUCCAAGCUUUCUAACACACCUGAUAAAGAACAGAAAUGGUAUCAGAAAAAUCCAGUGGCAGAGGUCUCGCUUGAAAGGACCUGAGAAGACAUGGUCCCGAUGGCCUGAGGCCCCUUCAGUAUAGCAGCACUGACUACAUCAGUCUCAUGCCUCAGAGUGGCUCUGAAGAGGCUCCCUUGUGGCAUCUAGGGACCUCAGCUCCUUGUCACACUCCUCACUUCUGCAGGGACCUGCUUAAACCUGCCUCCAGUCAAUGCCACAGCCGGCAAAACCCAGGCCCUUUCAAACAUCCCCCAGAAAGAAAAAGCGAGCAUGAGGCACAGCCCCCCACCCCCACAAACAGACCUUUUGGAAAUUCGCCUGCAGCAGCCAUCCCUCACAGAGUUUUUAUCAGGGAGCUCCCACUCCACUUCAAAACCACCGCAGCAAGUGCCCUGCCCUCAUUAGCUGCACUUUCAGCCUGCCACCAAGAUCCUUUUUCAGGAAUCAGCAGGCAAUUGUCCCUAUGGAGACUGCCCAGCACUAUGGUGUGCUUGCUACGAACUGAAACCUUCCACUAGACCAGGUUGCUCCCAGCCCCAUCCAACCUGGCCUUGAACACUUCCAGCGAUGUCGCAUGCUCUUGCCAGUGCUACCGCUGGCAACUCUCACCAAAACACAGAGAGCCAGGUCCUGAGCCCUGGGCAGCCACCCCCUUUCUACCAAGGGCAGCCACCUCACACAAUUCCCCUCAGCUGAAGUGCUUGUGUUCACCUCAAAACUGGCUUUUCGCCCAAACUGCACCCAUUGUUUCUGAAUCUCAUGGCCCUGACCCUAGCACUGGUUUUCUACAAUCCCACACUGAACACACAUGUGGUCACAUUCCAACCUCUGUCUGUGCCGAGGUUAUCAUUGGCCUUGAGCAGCAGCAGCCAAGUAGGAGAGUCUAUGCUGGCUAACCCUUAUGCACGUGUGUUUAUAGAUCAUGAUGCUGUAUUAACUCCCAGCAUUCCAGUUCUUCAAAUACGAUACAGGCUCUUCUCUACACCAAUGCUGCCCGAUAGCUUUUCUUCCAUUAACAAGUUUGGUUAACAGACUUGCGUUUUUCACAUCAUUUAUAACAUUAAUAAGAUCAGCCCCAACAGCUACUUUAAAAUGAGUGCUUAUUCCAAAAAAAGCAAGCCAAGACAGAGCAGAUUCAGCUGUAUAGCUUACACUCUGCCUUCUAUCUCUGCCUACACACAAUGCUACAUGUAGGAUCACUGCUAACGAGCCCCACCUUACUCUUUUAGCUCUGUUGAGGAUCAUGUGAGGCCACUGUAGCAUUAAUCAGACAGAACUCAACCACACGCAUGGCCACUCAUACAGCAGACUGACAAUGCUUUCAAACGUAACUAUCUGUUUUCAGGUAAGUAAUGCCCUUGCUACCAUAAUUCUCUGCCCAGAUCAGGAGAGGAGACUGUUCUGAGCGCUCUGAAAAGCUUGUAAUUCAGUCCUCUGUCUCUAGCACUGCAUGAUGCCAGUCCUGUGGCAGAUGGAUGAUGUUGCGUGCAUUUGCUAAUGCAAGAUGACUUAAUAAAUGAAGUUGUUAUGGCACUUGUCCUUCAUGACCUAGAAAUGAUUUCACAAUGCAUGUUCUGGAACUAGGUCCUUAUGUGCCAAAGACAGUAUCUCACAGAGUCUCCAUUAGCAUCCUUUCUGCAUCACUUUUUCCAACGGGAGAUGCUGCUGGCAUACCACAUGCAUGACAGGACAACUAACAAGCCCAGUCCACAAGGGACAGGCUUCCACAUGUCUCGUGUUGGCAUCUAGUACCUAAGUGAAAUGAGAAACUGUCCCAACUGCAGCUUGCGUGUCAAGUCAGAACAGCUGAAAUGAGAUACAGAGGAACUAAAGCAAAGUGUUAAACUUUAAAUGUAGUACCACUAAGUUCUGCUUCAAUCAUAAAUACCCCCAAUUUAUCUUUUUCACACACAUUUUGCAGAGAAGGAAGUGAAAAUUCUUCUAACCCUUAACAUAAGCUACGCACAUUUUCUGAAGGCUUUUUUGGUCUUUUUUUCUCUUGCUAUUAGACUGCAGCUUUUUUCUGUGUAUCUGUACUUUGCUAGAUAGCAUCAAGUAUUUUUUCUAGAACAGUGUGUCCACAGUUAAGUUUGACACACUUAAGUUUGAGAAUGGCACAGCCAGCUGCAGUAGAAUUAUAGUUUUAUAGAGAUAUUUGUUGGGAAUUGCAUACCCAAAAUUAUGCUCAACAGCUUCUUAAAUAAGCCCCUGAACUUUCCUGAGCAACUAAGAACAGUGAAGGGAGAAAAAAAAAAAAAUCUGAUGCAAUGGUGAACUGCAGUAAUCUACACAAGAAUGCAGUACUGAAAACCAAUCACAAGGGUGUUUUGGGUUUUGUCCCCUUCCAGAACAUCAGUUCACCAAAGAAUAUUAACAUAAAUCCCACCACAUAAAUGUAUACAGAAGAAACAUUACCAAAUUACACUACAGUAAUAAUCCUUCCUACUAUAUAUUCAAAUAAUAAAUUAUCACACUAUUUCAGAAGCACAAUUUUUCUGCUCAAAAAAUCAAGACACCACAACAACUAUUUCUCAAAUGCAAAGAGACUUCUCCAGACCAACAGAUUUCAGAAGGAGAAUACAUACAGCUAUUUUUAAUGAUUCUCAUAAGGAACACGUACUUGCUACAAUCAUCCUGCAAACCAACCAGUAUCCCCAACUGGACUUUGUUCACAGUGGACCAGAGCUUCACUCAUGCGCUUUAAGGACCUGCAUUCAGAAAGUCUGCUGCAGAGGGCAGCUCCUUUGGAAGACUUGUUUCCCCCAACAGUAUAUUCCAGCCACGUCAGGCUCUGCCCUUAGAAAAGUGACAGACAGAGAGGCAUUUACCACACUGCUCACACGUAGCCCUAGGCAGGGGCAGCAGCAUCUUCCCAGACUAACACUUCCUAACCAAGUGACUUCACACAUGAGAAGCCUACUGCAAAAGCCCAAUGCAGUUAAAGACACUGAUGUAAUUUUUCUGUUUUCAGGCAACUUGGCUUUCCUGAAAACCAUGACCAUACUACGCCUCAGUCAUUAUCCCAUGUCAAAAUUCAUCUGGUUGUUUAUUUCUACAGUCCUUACUUAGUAAGAGCAGAAGCAUUUAGUGACAGCAAAUUAGUACCAAGAUAUAAGAACAUCAGUCUCUAGGAAAACAGGUAACUGUCAGUUGAGAUAAUAAAAGAUAUUAAUAUAAUGCACUAAGGUCUACCUAAAGCAUCUGGAUCAAUGUUUUAAGGUCAGACUUACCUUUUGUGUCUUUUAACAGCUAUUUUGCACCAAAAAGAAACUUUCACAUCAAGUUCCCUGAAUAUAUUAAAGCAGAGGGAGGGGAGCAGUGGGAUAGGUAAUCAUUUGCACACACAUCUAAGAGAAAGUUAGAAAGCUGGUUUAUUCGAAACUGUGAAAUCAAAGUCCAAUAAAGAAAAUGCUUAACAUCACCACUGGACGCUAUGCAGGAAAACUCUGGUAAGACUGGACUGUUCCCUUGGAGCUCCCAGCAUGGCUGAGUCCUGAAAUGACUUCUCAGCUCCCUACUCCAAGCCACACUGUUAUCUCAAGAACAAUCUUUAACCAUUCACGGCAAGCCUUCCCCACAUGCACACUGCCAAAUUCCUCCCUGCUGGAGUUUUACUGAUACCAGCAUAAACCACCACAAACAUGCCAGGGCUCACAGUACUGAGGUUUUAAGAGUGAAACGGAGUGCCUAGAUUUCAGAACUUCUAUAGAGCAUCCAUCCUCUUUCCUCACUCAGAGCCCUUCAAACUGAUUCAUGAACUGUUCUAUACCCAAAUAUCGUAUUUUUAUUUUUAAUGAGCUAUUCUUAAGCUAGGACACCACAUUGGUUCUUAUUCACCAUCACUCUUUGUGGUGAGACGUGCAGACAUUGCCAGAAAUGGUGUUUAUGUUUGCUCAGCACUGCUAUUAAAUAACUAGGUUUUUCCAAAUAGCAGAUUCUUUUAGUUUAAGUAACCAUACUUUGCAUAUACAUCAAAACUCUCUGAAGUGAUCAAUAUGAAAAUAUCGAGAUUGUAUCCAAAAUAUAAUUUCAAACAGCUUAUAGAACCUCAGGUGGGCAGCCACCAAAUUCUGCUAAAAAUGCCAUGCCCUUUUAGAAACUGCACAAAAAA
Strigops habroptila (Kakapo) is the source of this 4268-nucleotide long non-coding RNA. The record is from Ensembl. NCBI's taxonomy places the organism in Eukaryota, Metazoa, Chordata, Aves, Psittaciformes, Psittacidae.